CCUACGGGCGGCAGCAGUGAGGAAUAUUGGUCAAUGGGCGGGAGCCUGAACCAGCCAAGUCGCUUGCGUUCCUCCUUUCCUCUUUCUUUUCCCCCUCUUUCUUCUUUUCUCACUGCCGGGCACGUGUGCCCGGAGGGAGAGUACCCGCAGAAUAAGCAUCGGCUAACUCCGUGCCAGCAGCCGCGGUAAUACGGAGGAUGCGAGCGUUAUCCGGAUUUAUUGGGUUUAAAGGGUGCGUAGGCGGAUUUUUAAGUCAGCGGUAAAAUGUCCGGGCUCAACCCGGGCCGGCCGUUGAAACUGGGGAUCUUGAGUGGGCGAGAAGUAUGCGGAAUGCGUGGUGUAGCGGUGAAAUGCAUAGAUAUCACGCAGAACUCCGAUUGCGAAGGCAGCAUACCGGCGCCCGACUGACGCUGAGGCACGAAAGCGUGGGGAUCGAACAGGAUUAGAGAAAAGGGGAGUC
Molecule: ribosomal RNA, 460 nt
Filed under: uncultured bacterium
Lineage: Bacteria
Description: partial 16S ribosomal RNA
Rfam family: Bacterial small subunit ribosomal RNA
Source: RNAcentral